AAUUUUUAUUGGGAAAUGAUAUAUAGCAGUUAUAUCUUAGAAUUUACAGGAAAAGAAAUUAUUAUUUAAUAAUAGACUCUUUAGAUUUUAUAUAUUAUGUCCAUUAUGGUUUGUUGAUGCUAAAAACCAUCAUGGUGUGCUAUUCCUGUUGUAUGCCAAUUAUAUCUGAUGAGGCCAGCCACACUAGAGGAAGAGAUAGACAAGCUAGACUUAGAUCCUUAAAUAAUUUCUCCAAAAUAGGAACCAGAGGACUUUUUACUUUUCAAUCAGAGGAUUUUUUAAUGCCAGAUUCUCUGGUUGACAAGUUGAAACAUUUUCAUGCAGUGAAUCUGACCAAUUAACCUAUUGCAAUAUGAACAAGUUAACUCUGACCUAUUCUAUUAUUAUUUUAGUAUGCUCU
RNAcentral lists this long non-coding RNA (400 nucleotides) under Androctonus crassicauda. The record is from RNAcentral. Lineage: Eukaryota; Metazoa; Arthropoda; Arachnida; Scorpiones; Buthidae.